UACGAAGGGGGCUAGCGUUGUUCGGAAUUACUGGGCGUAAAGCGCACGUAGGCGGACAUUUAAGUCAGGGGUGAAAUCCCAGAGCUCAACUCUGGAACUGCCUUUGAUACUGGAUGUCUGGAGUAUGGAAGAGGUGAGUGGAAUUCCGAGUGUAGAGGUGAAAUUCGUAGAUAUUCGGAGGAACACCAGUGGCGAAGGCGGCUCACUGGCCCGAUACUGACGCUGAUGCACGAAAGCGUGGGGAGCAAACAGG
This 253-nucleotide ribosomal RNA is filed under the name uncultured bacterium. RNAcentral describes it as "partial 16S ribosomal RNA". It matches the Rfam family "Bacterial small subunit ribosomal RNA", at positions 524 to 776 of the family's 1533-position model. The record is from RNAcentral.